Molecule: long non-coding RNA, 5840 nt
Organism: Lagopus muta (rock ptarmigan)
Lineage: Eukaryota; Metazoa; Chordata; Aves; Galliformes; Phasianidae
Exons: 7
Source: RefSeq, a predicted model, not a curated record
GGUCGUGACGGCCGCUCCGGUUCCUCAGGCAGCGUUUGCUUCUUUCGGCUACGGAGGGAUCUGCAGAAAACAGAAGAGCUUGAGAGGCAGAGGGUAGACCAUGCUCAGCUCUAACUGUAAACAUACUGUACUGGGUACCAAAGGAAUGAAGCCUUGCUAACUGAAGGCUAUGUCAUAAAUAGGAGAUGCUGAUUAGAGGUUGUGAACCUGCUCCUCAUCUGCAAAUCAUUCCCCUUAACUGCUGAAGGCACUGGGUGAAGGGAGUCUGCUUUAUCGACUGUUUGGUACGGAACACUGCUGGCUGAAUAUUGUAUAUGAACAAGCAAGACAGACUGAAAUCUCAGAGAGCUCUUUCCUCGCAAAUGUCUCUGCGUGGCUUACAGGACAGAAUAUGAGAAUAACCCAGCACAAGACAGUGUGAAAGGAAACCUGAAUCUAUUUACUGUUAAGAAGCCCCGAACUGAACUGACAGGUACGGAAUGUAACAUUGCUCCAAAGGCUUGGCAUGCUGAUAUUGUCUUUGUGUAUUUGAAGUAUUUCCUCUGGCCUUCAGAGUGUUCAUAUCAUCCAGAAUGCACAGCACUGUGACCGUCCUUUGGAAGGAGCAGACCUGACAACCAUCAACUUAUCUGCACUGUGUCAGAGGAACCACCAGUUUGACAGCAAUCCAUAUCCAGUGCAUGCAGGACCUUCAAAAGAAAUUUCUCUGCUACAGUCACAUAUUUGUCACGUUUCAUUUGCAAGUAUCAAGGUAAGGAGCCAAGCAAGAAUGUAUUCAUAUUCAAGCUUAUUUUCUACCUUAAUAUUUUGCGCAGUUGGUAUCUCUUUAUGUAUAUAUUUGCUGUAGAACAUCAGGUUUCACUUCUAGACCUUGUCUCGACUGCUGGCCAUAAGUCUUCCACAAACUGCAAACCAUUUUGCUACAUAAAACAGCAUGCUCUUUUAGGACAGAGAGAAAGAAAGACUAUAUAACCUUGCAGGAGUCAGCAGGUGGCUUGCGUUAUUAGUCAACUCUAGCUCCAGCAGAGCUGGAAAACACAGCUGUCCUGUAUGCAUGUGCCUUGAAAGCUUGGUUCAAUCAGGGACCAUAGUACUGUUCAGCUCUCUGUUCUCUCUGUGGUGUUCUUGUUUGUCACUGAUUGUGAAACUUAAUUUAUAGAAAAGCUUUGUGAUCUCAAAUGAAUAAUUAGCAAUGUUCAAAUACUUUUUCAUAGAACAUGCAUUAGAGGGUUGGAUUUUUCUGUAUUCUGCUAAAUUAUGUAUGUGUUUAUGUGAGAUAGCACUAAUCAGAAACUAUUUUUUUCCCCUUAGAAAUUUGUGACUUUCUAAAAUGAGGGGAAAAAUGGAAAUAGUCAUUAGAAAUUAUACUUACAAAUAUCUUUACAGUUCAAUGUGCAAAUCUUUAGUUUGGGUUUUAAAAAAGAAAAAGUUUAAUUUGGAGAGCAAUAAUACAUGUUAUUUGUCAUAAAUGCAGUAUGAACUUAAUGCACAUGAAUCUGAAUUGUUCAUUUAGUCAGUUAUAAAUGUUAUUAAAAAAUAUACAGCUGUGAAAUGAUGGGAAUCAUUCCAAUUAUCAUCAUGAGGCUGUCAGCUCUGUACUUCCAGACAGGCUCAUCACAGUGCACAGCCUGUCUUGCGGAAGGGGAAUUGUAGCGGUAUAUAAGUAUGAAGUGGCAGAAGAACAAAACAUUCUGCUUUUUUAGUUGAGUAUGAUGUAUAGGAGCAGAAUAUACAUAUAGAUAGCACUUGCUCAGGCAGUUUUGUGAGAUUUGAAAAAGAUAACAAUCUCCUAAGGUUUUUUAUGUCUAGACUUAUUUGCUCAAUUGUUAAAUAAAUGCUGUGUGUUAAUGCUAUUAUGAGGGUUGCUACAAAGUAACCGUACUGGCUUUAUGUAAGUUGCAUGACUGGAGAUUCUGCUUGGAUGCUGGGAAAAAUUUCCUCUCAGAAAGAGAGGUGAGGUGCUGGAAUAGGCUGCCCAUGGAGGUGGAGGAGUUACUGUCCGUGUUCAAGAAGAAGGUAGGUGGCACACUGGGUGACAUGGUUUAGUGGUACAGCGGUGAUGGAUUGACAAGUUGGACUAGAUGAUCUUAGUGGUCUUUCCAGCCUUGACUGUAUAAUGCUUUCUAUAUUUUGAUGUUGACCUAUGACAUCAGAGGCAGAAAGGCAGCUUGUAUGCAAUUUGUAUGACAGUGGCAUGCAGACUCUUGUUCAGCAGUAGCUAUGCAUUUCCACUGGCAGAGGUGCUACGUUGAAAAACUGUUUUUUAACUGAGAAUUUGCUUUAUCAAAUUGUGUUACUGAGCUCCAUGGAAAUAAAUAGGAAGCAUUACUUUUUGAGAGAUCUAAGUUGCAACACGCACAAAAUUAUCUUGCUGUUUUAAGAGAGCAUACCUCUCUAUAGUCAUUGCUUCUGCUGUGAUAUCUCAAUUAGCUAGUAGUGUUGUGCUGUGUAGUCUUUACAGUGACCUUCAGCAGUCAAAUGCUUGUCCUUUCCGAAAAGCUUACUCGUACCUCUUGAUGAAUAGAGUACAGCGUACACUUACCUACAACAAAGAUAACUAAUGUUCACAGGUAUUUUAAUUGGUCUUUCAAUUUUGCUUCUUUAUCUUCACUGUGUGUGGUUAGAUGCUUAGUGUUAACACUGCGAAUGAUUCACUGUGGCACUUAAAGCAGUUGGACUAGGAGAAUUCUGUAUUUUUUUUUGCGUAUUUUUUAGAACCAGAUAACUAUGUUGGCUUAGAACUUCUACUUGGAUAAUAUCUAUCUGUUAUGACCAGAACAGUCCAAGGUAUAUUAGCAGAGCAUUUAGAACAUUUUUAAGUGAAACAGCCUUCAUAUCUUGCAGAGGGUGGAAUUGCUAUCACGUUGUAAUGAUAUCUUAGAAGUGAUACGAAAUUUGUUUUUGCCUCACCCAAUACAGUUGCUGGCACUUCUAAGUAUUGCAUGGAUACCUGUGCUGUAAGGGCAUUUUCUCUUUCAAGAAAAAUGUAACAGAAGUAGUUUUGGAAUCCCUGUGUACUCAUCUGCAGAGAUUAGGUAGCUAUCUUAGGUUUACUUUAAGGCACAAAAUAGCAUGUUUUUAUGCAUGUGUUGUGGAUAUCUUGUCACUUCUGGAUUUGGAUGACUAGCUUUUCCAUCUUUUUCUAUAUAUUUAUAUCAAAAUGUAUGAAAUUGCUAAAUGUAAGGUUUGAACUCUGUAGUUUGAGUAUCACAGAAAAGCAGCCAGUGGCAGUAGGCACAGGUAAGGAACAGUAAGCCACACUCUUAAUUGCAGUAAAUAGGAACAAAAGAAUAUUAGCAGCUUUAGUUAAGAAAAAAAACCUACAACAAAGAAAAGAAAAAACACCGCCAAAACAGUACAUUUACUAGCAGUUACUUGCAAUUAGAGUAUAUACUAGAUAGUAUAGCUACUCCUGCACACUAGAAUUCUAUUAAAUGGAUUAUUAAAUUGUACUAUUGAACUAUUAAAUUGUAACUAGAAUAAGCUAAAAAUACUGUAUCAUAGCUCAAAAGAACUAAAAUUAACAUUUAUAACCUCAUUUCUGUCAGGUUAUUACUUUCCAUUUGAAAACAAGUUAUGGAUAAGAGGACAUUGCAACUCAUUGCAACAGUAAAGCUUUUAAUCAACUGUAAAUUACUGUUCCCACCUCCAAUUUUUUUUUUUGUGCCAUUCUAGAUUUUAAUCAUCUAGUAUAACAAGGAAACUAUAAAUAUGUCGAUUAGUAAACAAAAUCUCUGAAUUUAUGCCAAAUGUGAUACUGAGCUCCUUUCCCAAACUAUAAGCUAGCUAAUAGCAAAGAAGCAAGCUAUUUGUUUGCCCAUCUAAAACUUUUAUCAUGUCAAGAUGCAAAUUUUCUGUACGCCUUUAAGAAGAAGUCUGCUGAAAGAGAGAUGUGCUGGCAUGUCAGCUAUAAGCCAUACCUUCAGUUCAUGCAAAUGUAAAAUCUAAGAUUAGCUGAAAAUGGAACACAAUGGAGACAGUUCAUGCGUUAUGUAAAACUUUGUGCUUGUGUUUUUAACAGCCAAGGGUGGAAUCUUACUUGAAUAAGUAAGUAAGUUAAUACAUUCUUGAAGCAGUUAUGCUUCAUUUUAGGACCAAGUAAACCAGAUAAUGUUAGACAGCUUAAGUUUAAUGGAUUUUACUUAAGGUAAUGCAUAAGAAACACCCACCUUCACAGUUUCUGAUCACUGACAAGUUCACAGGAUUCCUGUAUAUUUCACUUGGAAAUAGAUGGCUAAAUGUAAUGUUCACUGUAGUUAGAAAUGUACUUAACCCAGUAACGUAAAACUCAUGACCUGCAGCAGUGCAGGUGAAGACCUGCAAUGGCCCACUGCGACUGUACUUGCUUCUGUACUAGAACUGCUGUGCCCCCAUGCUGCUAAGGCUGGUGUCCAUGCUGAGGUGUAACAAGGUGAGUAGUAACUUAAUUCAAGUUGCAGUAUAAAUGUUCAUGUACUUCGGCAUUCCUUUUAUCUACGUUUCAGUGGUUUAGUCAUCAGCUGAGUUUAGCUAUUACACAUCAAGAAACACAAUUCUAUGGCUCGAAAACAUGCAUACUAUUCAUACCACUGUACAGACACCAUCAGCCCUAUGUGAAGGAAAAAAAAAACAACGCAGAAAAACCAACAAGUCAACCAAAAAAUUCAUUCAUUCCUUCUAUGACUUGCCUUGUUGCUGGUCUUGAUGGAACAAAACAGCUUCUGCACAGCUAAGCAAUUUGGACCUUAUUUGGUUGGGGUUUAGUUGAAAGCCAAUGGAAUGAAAAUAUGCAUUCAUGUUAGUCUCUACUCUGGUUCUGAUGGAACAGAAUUUUUUUGUCCCCACUAAAUAUUAAGUUAGUUAGUAAAGAAUUUUAAGAGCAAGGUUACUCUAGAAAUGCAGCACCUUUACUAUACAUUACAAGGAGAAUUUUAAACACCAAAUAAACAAACAAAUACUAAAUUGCAGUGACUUUCUCCUUGAGUUAAUACUUCAUUAACUCAUAGGCUUUCACUGACGCUUUUAACUAUUUCCAUAUUUGAAUACAUACGUGAAAGUUAUUACUACUUUUAUACAAAUGUAAUGUUCAACUAUUAUUCUAAAAUAAUUAGAAUAUUAUUCUAAAAUAAUUAGAAUAUAGGAAAUAUUCUAUUGAAUGCAAAUAUAGUAUUUCUUUCUGCAAAUAAAAUGCAUGAUGACACAUAUGAAAGAGGUAAGUGAAAAAUAAGGCACAACCAAAAAAUAACUUUUCACAUUUUUUUUCUAUUUCACCCUUAGUGGAACAAUAAAUACAAUGGCAUAGCUUCUAUUCAUCUUAUUUACACAGUACAAUACUUGAAUGUUACCGGGUUUCCAGCCCAAACGUUUUGUGACGUUAACAGGAGUAUGUGCUGCAGCAUUUCUACAGCCAAGCACUUCAGGAGAUCAUCACAAAGAAAAAACAAUACAUAGAAUAGCUGUUAAAUACAAUAAUAAACGGAGGGAACUCUGCAGCAGAGAAUCAACUUGUGGCAUUUACUAAUUGAUGACAGUAGCAUUAAAAAUAGACAUUCCCUUUAACUCAUAACUAACAUGCCAGUUACUUAUACAAAGUCUAAAAUGAGCAUUUCUGUAGCCUCCUUCUUAAUGAUACAGUAAAUGUUCACUAACAAAAAAGAACAAUAAUAGAUAACUGUCUGCCUGUUGAAAAGAACCUCACAGCCCCCAAAAGCUUUCUUACAUUCCAGACAAUACAGGCAAUGACUACAAUAUUCCAUAAAGUAGAAAAUAGACCACAGGACAAAAUCUCAGCAUAAAGAUUUGAUGUUAAUUUAUAGUGACCAAAAAAAAAAAAAAAAAAAAAAAAAAAAAAAAGGAAUAAA